Bubalus bubalis (water buffalo) is the source of this 489-nucleotide long non-coding RNA. RefSeq lists it as uncharacterized. The transcript is spliced from 4 exons. Lineage: Eukaryota; Metazoa; Chordata; Mammalia; Artiodactyla; Bovidae. The record is from RefSeq and is a predicted model, not a curated record.
CUUAUCCAUUUGUCUGCUGAUGGACAUCUACCUACCUCCUUUCUUGAUGAGUCACCACAGACAUUAUUUUGGAGAGCUGACUUUGGCAAGAAUUCUUACCCUUUGCCUGCUUCUAAGCCAGUUUUUCCAGGAUCCCAUCUCCUGGCUCUGGAAUUCCACAUGCGUGCUGCUUGACUCUGGAAGAUCCCGUUUCUGAAGGAGUUGAUGCUGUGCUAAGCCUUUUGCCCAGUGCCUUGUUUGAAAUGACUGCCCACGGUGCUGAAAGUGAUCUCACUCAUAUUACUUUAAGGAACUAGCUUUCUAAAGGCCUGAAGACAGAAGCACAGACUUUUUUAAAGCAACAAGCAAUUGCAAGUCAAUAAACAUCCAGCUCCUCCUCUGCUCAUCCAGCCUGAUGAUGAUGAAAUGCACACCGACAGGAGCAAUAAGAAAAAUAAUAACAUUAUCACAGGAUCAAUGUCUAUUGCUGGCUUCAUAAAUAAAGGACUU